GAAAGCUGCAAUAUCAUCUGUUCUGCAUUUCCGGUAACCUAAAUGGAAUGUAGGUUGUUCCAUGCUCGGUCUUUUCUAUCGAAACCCCCCAGAAGUGCAGACGCCCAAAUAAUAUCUCUCUGCAAGUGUAAAUUUUAUCAGCGCAAGAUCAGCGCAAGUGCAAAGUGUUUAUUUUUUUUUUCUUAUCAAAUUCCGAAUUUGCAACGGAGAUAAGGGCAGCCUAAGCCUGUGUUUGUGGGUUUUUUUUUUCUUUUGUGUGUCGCGGCUUUAUGAAAGCGCGACCUCGUUGCGGUCUUAUCAAAAUUUAUCAGGUGAAUAUAAAAUUUAUAUUUGUAAUAACUCCAGGGUACUUAUUGUGGCCGUUUUAAAGUUUCGUUGCGGUCCACACCAAAACACCCCGGGAGCGCUCCUGGUGGAGGCUCCCAGUUCAGGAGCGGCUUAACCUCGAUCGGGCUUUUAGUGAAGUGGAAAAAAAACGGAAUUGGAAAAUAUGAAGAUAAUAUUUAUUUUUUUUAAACUUUCGCGAACAAAAUGGUUGUCAGGUUAAUUUUAAAUCGUUUAAUUUUAAUCCUCGUGCGAAAAUAAGUUUGUUUUAAAAUUCUAUGGUGUGCAAAAACCUCAUUACACUCAUUUACAGCAACCCAAAGCAGAGAUCGAUCUUUCGCCGAUGGAUUUACAGUGAGUGGUUUAUUUACCUUUUACAUAU
This is a long non-coding RNA of Drosophila ananassae, 706 nucleotides long. RefSeq lists it as uncharacterized. NCBI's taxonomy places the organism in Eukaryota, Metazoa, Arthropoda, Insecta, Diptera, Drosophilidae. The record is from RefSeq and is a predicted model, not a curated record. The transcript has 3 exons.